RNAcentral lists this ribosomal RNA (253 nucleotides) under uncultured bacterium. Its description in RNAcentral is "partial 16S ribosomal RNA". It matches the Rfam family "Bacterial small subunit ribosomal RNA", at positions 524 to 776 of the family's 1533-position model. The record is from RNAcentral.
UACGUAGGGUGCAAGCGUUGUCCGGAAUUAUUGGGCGUAAAGGGCUCGUAGGCGGUCUGUCGCGUCGAAAGUGAAAACCCAGGGCUUAACCCUGGGCCUGCUUCCGAUACGGGCAGACUAGAGGUAUGCAGGGGAGAACGGAAUUCCUGGUGUAGCGGUGAAAUGCGCAGAUAUCAGGAGGAACACCGGUGGCGAAGGCGGUUCUCUGGGCAUUACCUGACGCUGAGGAGCGAAAGUGUGGGGAGCGAACAGG